Molecule: long non-coding RNA, 715 nt
Filed under: Rattus norvegicus (Norway rat)
Lineage: Eukaryota; Metazoa; Chordata; Mammalia; Rodentia; Muridae
Description: long non-coding RNA NONRATT003272
Source: RNAcentral
AAGUUAAAUAAAAGAAAGGUCCACAUUAAACAGGAAAUGCCCCCACCCCAAUUUCUAGAUGAGUCUCCUAUGCAGAUCAAUGGCCAUACUUUUUUAUGGGUUCAUUCAAUGUCCACAGCAGUUAGAACUCACCCCUGGAUCCUGCACCCCAUUUCCACUGAUGUGGUUAAAAUUACUUGAAUGAUGGCCACUUAAAAAUAUAAGCCAGGUGCCAGGGCUCAGGGACCCUCUGCCCAUACAGCCCCUGAUGCUGCUCCUUGCCAUACCCAUGCCACUGGUCCAGCCCCGCCCCGCCCCGCCCCACCCCGCCCCCCAGUGCUACCCUGAAGGAGGAAGGGAAAGAUACUUUAAAUUGCAGGCUGUUGGGGCUCUUUAGGCUAGGUAGGGUAGCCUGACAGUAGCAUAGUCUCAUUGGCAAAUGAAGUGCGUUGUCAGUGUUGCGGGGGUGCCCAGGGGUCAGGGACAGAUGGGCCUGCAGGCUGUGCUAGGGCCACGUGUGCUCAGCGGUACUGUUUCAGGCAGUGUGGUGAACGGAGGGUGCGGUGGUCAGGCCCCCACCAGGACGGCAGCCCAUGCUGGGUCUUCUCACUAGCACCGCACACCACUGCCUGCCUUCCCCCACAGGCCGCGACUGUCUUGCACUACAGCCGCUCUAGUCUCAGGAAUUUGCUUGUUACUUUUACUGUGUAAAUAAAGCUUCCUGGUUCAACACCCA